GAGGAAAGCCAAAGCUGGUGGUGAACACUGAAGUCUCCAAGAAUGGAGAUCUUUGCAAAAGGGAAGAGAGUCAGCAUGUGCUCCACUUUGGAAGUUAAGUGGUCAAAGAAUUUCUUAUAGUCAGAGGAGUUAGGUGUGUGUAUGAGAGAGAGAGAGAGAGAGAGAGAGAGAGAGAGAGAGAGAGAGAGAGAGAGAGAGAGAGAGAGAGAGAGAGAGAGAGGUUAACAUGUAUUUCAUCUUCCCUGUGCUUCACACCAGUCUGAAGGACUAAAAGAAGGGAAUAUUUGAGGCAGCAUGAUAUCAUUAGGAAAUGCAUCGCUAUAUUUAGUAUUACAAGUGUCUUUCGUAAACCAAACUGUACUCUGGCAUUCUGUAAGGGUUAGAUAAAAUGCAGUUGGAAUGAUGAGUGAUUUCCCCAUUCACACAUCUGACUGUGGUGUAGUAAGGACUGAAGGGGUUAAGAAGAGUAAGCAAGAUGACAUAGUUUGGUUCGGUCUUUUUAUAAACAUUCAUAGCUGCAAAGGAAUAGUGAACACUAGUCUAUUCUAAGAUCUAGAGUGAGCUACAGUUGUCCAAAUAAAACAUUAAAGUGUAUCCUGUAUUAAUCCCUCACCUUAUAACUAAAACCUGUUAAUUCUCCCUGUCAGGCAAAUGUUUUAAAACUACAAAUUUGUUUUUAAUUUAUCAGAAUGGAUAUAUCUUAUACAUAUUUUUUUUUCAAUCAGAACCAUUUAUAGACAUUUUUUAAGGAUGAGUAUCAUCAUUUAUCUCAAACCAAGUCUAGCAGAAAUUGGUUAAAUCUUUAGGAUCACUGCAUGUGAAUGCAAGGAGUUACAGGUGGUCUGAGUCCCGCAGCAAAGUGUGCCAGAUGUGUGACAUGGGAGAGGAUGAGACGGUGGAACAUGUGGUGUUGGAGUGUGUGAAGUAUGCUAGAGACAGGAAUGAGAUGAUGCAAGUGAUACUGACUGAGUUAGGGCAUGAUAGGAAUGAAAGAGUGGAGAAGACAGGAAAGGAGUGGAUGGUGUUGUUGCUGGGACUGUGUAGAGAGGCCAAUGAAAGGAUGAUUAGAACAUAAGAACAUAAGAAAUAAAGGAAGCUGCAAGAAGCGACCAGGCUUACACAUGGCAGUCCCUGUAUGAAAUAUACCUACCUAUUUCCAUCUAUUAUCCCCAUCCAUAAACUUGUCUAAUCUUCUCUUAAAGCUCUCUAGUGUCCUAGCACUAACAACAUGAUUACUGAGUCCGUUCCACUCAUCUACCACUCUAUUUGAGAACCAUUUUUUCCUAUCUCCUUCCUAAACCUAAAUUUUUCAAGCUUGAACCUGUUAUUUUUUGUUCUAACCUGGUUGCUGAUCCUAAGAAUUUUGCCUACAUCCACCUUGUUAUAACCCUUAUACCACUUACAGACUUCUAUCAGGUCCCCUCUUAACCUACGUCUCUCUAAAGAAUGUAAAUUUAACAGCUUCAACCUCGCCUCGUAAGGAAUACUCCUCAUCCCCUGUAUCCUUUUAGUCAUUCUCCUCUGUACUGAUUCUAAUAGACCUAUAUAUUUCCUGUAAUGUGGGGACCAGAACUGCACAGCGUAGUCUAGAUGAGGUCUGACCAGCGCCAAGUAUAACUUUGAGGCGGUGAAAGAGUUUCUGGAGAGAAUGUGGCGUGCCACAUGUAUGAACAAUUAGGAUAGAGGAUGCUGUUCGUUUCUUUUUUUUCCCCCCUUCUACAGGAGUUGCUAGUCCAAAGGCCUGGCUCAGGAGUGAUCCUGUGCCACCUGUACCAUCAAGAUCUUUGCUGACCAGACUUGAAUCAACAAUGAGACACUGGUUUCAGAGCCUGUUAAAGCACACAAACACUUUGAGGUGGUGGUGGUGGUGGGAGAGUGGGAGUACCUUCAGUCCUCUUCCCUCACCCACCAAGACUGAGGAGCAGUGAAGGCGUUUGGCUUUUCCUGUCUUCCAUGCCCUCAGCUGUGACUCCUUGAUAAGAUCAUCAGCAAGGUACUGCAGAAGAUACAGGAAGAGCAACAGCUAUGACAAUUCUCCCUCUUUGGCCAACCCAAGUAUGGUUCCUGAAAGCCCUCCAACUGCUGGCAGAAACUCCUCUUCUGCUCCCUCGAUAUUCAUUAAUCCUGCCUCAAUAUCCCUCCCUUGUACACCCACAGGCCCAAAGGUUAAUUCUAAUAGCAACGAUCUUAUCGGGCAUGCCUUCCAAAAUCAAGGCCUUUCGCCAGAGGUUGCCGGAUUUCUGCUUAACUAGUGGAGAAAGAGCACAAAAUUACAAUAUGGGAAACAUAUCGAAAGAUGGAUGUCAUUUUGUCUCAGCAGGGAUAUGGAUCCAUUUUCACCACCUGUAAAUGUUUUGCUGGAUUACCUAUUCCUAGAAUUUAAGAAAGAGAAAGCUCGAGGCUAUAGCUCUAUGAACAUUAUCCGGUCAGGCAUCUCAACAGUAGACCUUAUCAAAGGUCAGCCUGCAGGGAGGCACCUCUUAGUCAGUAGGUUCAUGAAAGCAGUCUUCCAGGAGAAACCUUCCUUUGCUCGCCUUCAAUCUACUUGGGACCCAGAAUUGGUUUUAAAUCACCUAAAGAGCCUAGGCCAGAAUAAAGACUUGUCACUCAUCCAGUUGUCGAGAAAAUUAACAAUGCUAAUGUUACUGAUAUCUGGCCAACGUGGCCAAGUGUUACACUUAAUGGACACCAGGAACAUGAGUACCUCAGACUCCAGAAUCUCUUUCCGAAUAGGAGACCCUCUCAAAACAUCUAGGCCAGGUUAUCAUAUAGGAGACCCUCUCAAAACAUCUAGGCCAGGUUAUCAUAUGUCUGAACUAGUUUUUGAAGCAUAUGUACCAGACAGACGAGUAUGUGUACACACCACUAGUUUACACUACCUUGACAGAACGAAAGAAAAAAAGGGGGAAAAUUACCAGAUUCUUUCUAACAACAAAACCAUCCAUAAAACUGGCAUUGAGACACUUUACGACGCUGGACAAGAGAUAUCAUGAAAGCUGCUGGUAUAGAUCUCACUAUCUUUUCUCCUCAUUCCACCAGGUCAGCUUCAUCCAGUAAAGCAGCCCUGAAGCUACCACUGUCCACUAUUUUGUCCACUGUAGGUUGGACCAAUGAGUCAACUUUUGCAAAAUAUUACGAGACCAUUAAACAAACUUUGUCGGUUUGCAAAAGCAGUGUUGUCAUAAGUUUUUGGGUAUGUCGGGUUUAACUACUUUGUCUUGUGUAUAAGGUUAUGCACUUUUAUGAACAAAUGUAUCUCAGUUUCUCUGUAGUUGAGUCACUUGAUUAAAGAAAAUCUUUGGGAA
Long non-coding RNA from Scylla paramamosain (green mud crab), 3305 nucleotides. RefSeq lists it as uncharacterized. NCBI's taxonomy places the organism in Eukaryota, Metazoa, Arthropoda, Malacostraca, Decapoda, Portunidae. The record is from RefSeq and is a predicted model, not a curated record. The transcript has 2 exons.